RNAcentral lists this long non-coding RNA (1202 nucleotides) under Mus musculus (house mouse). RNAcentral describes it as "long non-coding RNA chr6:108822827-108824029". The record is from RNAcentral. Lineage: Eukaryota; Metazoa; Chordata; Mammalia; Rodentia; Muridae.
CGAUGUAGUAGAUAGACCCCAUGCUCCCACCUGCUUAUGUGUUGCUCACACUGUGUGUGAUUUGUCUCUUAUGUUAAGCAGCACCUAUGUCAACAGUACAUAUUCAGAUGUGUUGAGCACUCCAGGUGUAGUCAGUAGGAAGUUCUUUUACUGAGUACCGUUUUAAUUUAUAGACUGCCACGGCCUUAAGAACAUUCUGGACAGAUAACUGCACCAUGUUGCACAGGCACUACUUGUUCUCUCCAUUCUCAUUCUUACUGAGUAGGACCUGGGCUGGAAAGUUCUCUUCUUAUUCACGGAGGCAGGUUGCACUCUUCCUGAAUUGGAUGGGUGGUUUGAAUAAAGGGAUAUUUAAACUUUGCUCCUGUAGCCCGACAUGACUAAUGGUCACUGUGAACCAUUUCAAAGAAUGUGGCAACUUGCUUAUGCCUAAAAGGAGGGAUUGGAACCAGAAUGUUUAACUAAGCGGGGACUGCAUAAGUUCUUGUUAAUUGACCUAUGGAAACCUUAAUUUGUUUAUGUGUCUUUCCAUUGCUUUCCAGCAUUUCAGGACAUCUAAAAGCUACUACCAACAUUUUCCUGUGCAUAACCUCUGCAUGUGAAAACCUAACAGUUACUGAACUUUGUAAAUACGUAAAUUUUUUAUUUAGGUGUGGAUGCAUUUUUUGUCUGUUUACUGCUCCUCUCAGCUUUAUUCAAUAAACUUGCAUUUUGAGGGUUGCAUUGACAAUUUUACCUUAAAAUGUAUCAUGAUGAAAAGACGCAGACCUUUGGACUCGAGUGGGAAGAUAAUCACUCUGGAAAGGGCUCCACAGACUGUGCUGGAAGGUGGCUGCCUCAGCUGGCCGAGGUGUUGAUGGGAUGAACUAGAAAUAAACUUUUACAGUGUCUACAGAGUUGGUAUCAUGGUCCCCUCCCUUCUCUCUUGCUCGGAGAGGAUUCUGUUACAUAUACAUUGAGUGGCACUUGGUGGGCCGGUCCUGAGGAGUGAGUCUAGUCUUCACCAAUGCUGGCCAGGCACUCUAAUGUCACCGAACACACACUCUCUUCUUAGCCCCAAGUCUAGGACUUUUUAAAAUGGUGGAGGCAAGUAAAGAGUUUUAUCAUCCAGUUUCUUUAAAAAAAGUUACACUGCCAGAAACUGAACCUAGGCUCUUGCGUAGUCUAGAGAAGCCCUCUACCACUGAGCUACAUCCCAGCCU